Caenorhabditis elegans is the source of this 21-nucleotide non-coding RNA. NCBI's taxonomy places the organism in Eukaryota, Metazoa, Nematoda, Chromadorea, Rhabditida, Rhabditidae. The record is from Ensembl.
UGAUAAGCUCCAAUCGUGUCC